AGAAAAGUAUUUAAAAUAAUAAACCCUAAUUUGCAAUUAGAAAUUGAGACACUCCUUUUCUA
RNAcentral lists this transfer RNA (62 nucleotides) under Ixodes auritulus. Its description in RNAcentral is "tRNA-Ala". Lineage: Eukaryota; Metazoa; Arthropoda; Arachnida; Ixodida; Ixodidae. The record is from RNAcentral.